CCACCUGGGGGCUGGGCAGGCAGCCUGUUUGAUCUGCUCCCAGACCAAGACGCCCGGUAUCCCGGGGAGAAAUCAGAGCGGGAAGUUCCUUGUGUUAAGUUAAUUCUAAGUAGUCAAAGACCACUUAACAAGUCUGCAUCCUCAGCCCUUAGUCACAUUCCUAAAGAAUCCUUAAAAGGGGGAGCCCCCGGCCUUUCGGCGAGUUCCUCUCUCUGGGGUCUCCCGCCCUUGCUAGGUGCGUACCCUUUUAACCUUUUCCAACCUUUCAGAGGGCGCUUCUCUCUCUGAGGUCACCCGCACUUUCCAAGUGUGUAACCUUUUAACUUUAAACUAUCUUUUCAACCUUUCAGGGGCGCCUCUUCUCUAGCACAGCCCACAGUCCCCUUUCUCCAAAUGUGCUCCUCUUGCCUUGAAUAAACUUCUCACUUAAACGCACUGUCUCUGCGCCUUUCCAGUACUAAGUGUUUUAUUACCUUGCUUCGUCAUUCUAAUCCUCCGAAUUCUGGCUUUACCCUUCACUCUGUCCUAUCUCAGGCAAGUAAGGAGGGGCUGCUGAGAGCUCCGACCUGGGCUUGCAAAUUAUCAUCACCUGGGUGGCCGGGAACUGCAGUUUACAGUCAUGCUCUUUAAUAACCUGCCUGAAAGUCUCCCUUCUUUACCUAUAGGAAGUUCGCAGAACAUAAUCUCACUCCACCCAGUGCUCUGCGGCUCCCCCUAAGCCUGGGGUGGUAGGGACUCAGUUCCCACGCUGUGCAGAUCCAAGCAGAUGCUGGAUGCCAGGUGACCCUGGUUUAAGGAGUUAGCAGAGGUCAUGCCCCAUGCUGACUCAUGAACUUCCUUUAGUAUUCUAUUCUUUCAGUCCCUAACACUCUUACUUUAAUGAAUUCCUUCCUCACUUUGUCCUCUGAUUUCCCUGCACUGCGGAAUCAAACUCUUCCUAACAGUAUCAUCAAUAUUCUCACCAUAUGGACCUCCAGCCUCUGACAUCUGCCCCAUGUUCUUCAUGAUCUGGAGGCAACGUCUUCUUGCCCAGGUACUGAUGCCCUAGAACAGCCGCAGGGACAGGAACACCAUCGGCGCUCAGAGACACGGGUUCCCUCACUAGACACUCGGGGGAGGUCUCCGGUGAGGCUUCUCUGGAUGCUGCAGCUGCACGGCCUCUACCCCAGUUGCCGGAUGGGUGUUCUGGGAGCUCCGGGAGCAUCUGCUGCACAGCCGUGCUGCAACUCACAUAUAGGGCCCCACAUUCCCUUCUCUGCAAACAGCCCAUGCCACUCUUUCCCCUUCCAGGCACCUUCUAAAACUACCAUUUCAGUACUUCUACAAAGUAUGCUGCCAAACAAACAAAAAGAAAAGGUUACAAUCCUGGGCUGCUGCAAAGUCUCCCCUGAGCCAGAUGGGAACUGAGUGUCCUAAAAACACUGAGGAGAGAACCAUUCCCAGGUCAGACACACUGGGAUUCAUGAUCUAAUGGGCCCACAGCAGCCCCAACGCAGGAGUUCCUGGGCUGCAGGAGACCCAGGGCAUCAGGCCACUGCAGGUUCUAUGAAACCUGCCUAGGCCUGGUGGUCCCUGAGCAUCCAGUGUGAAAAUCAACCCCAUCUUUCCUCAUCCAGGAACAGGACCCAGUAAAGGAAGCAAAUCUGGCAGGAAGAGUUGGGAGUGAGCAAACCGGAGAUCGCCACACACGUGUCCCUCAGUGACACAUGACCUCAGAAUGUCAGCUGCUUAGUGGGAACUGGCCACUGUAAGGUUGGAGGCACUGGAGGGAGGGGUGAGCACGUCAGACACUGAUGACGUGCCAAAGUCCCCGGCUGCUGCCCCCUCCCAACCUGAAAAAUGUGCCUUAGGCUAGCCAAUCCUCCCGCUGCUGUAAAUCUAAGCUCUGCCUCCCCCUACCUUCUUUAAAAACUCACUGCCUGCCCUGCUGCGUGUGACUUCCCUGGCCUGUCAUAGCCAGACCACGGAGCAUCACCCAGGAUUGUGCUCAAAUAAACUGCCUGGCCCUUUGUUGCCUCUCAUCACCUGCUUAUUUCGGCUAGAAUUUAUCUUACAUUUCGGGCCAAAAACCGGGAAGGAGUGUGAGCACGGGGCCCCGAACGGCCAUCACGGCCCCACCCCCUCCUUCCCUGACCAGGGACCUCAGCCUGCUCUCCUCUGCGUGGACUAUUUUCCGUCACCGUUUUAUUACUCCUAAACUAGCAAAGAACUAGAUUUCACCAGAACAAGUAUUAGUUACAUAAGAAGUAAGUAAAAGCAGAAGAGGGACCCCAAAUUCCACUCCGUGACCUGGUAACCAUGACCUUUAAAGUCUUUAAUACCCAUGAUGAAGAACAUGAGAGGAGGACAGUGUCUCAAACCCAACCCUUCACGGUGGCCCUGUGGCUGGCAGGACAGGGGUCUCAUCACACCAAAGACUGGUCUGGAGCUUGUGAGCCUCCAGGAUGCUGCUUCCGGUGUGGCCAAGAAGACCACUGGGCAGAGAUGCCCCAGCCUGACCAAAAAGCUGACUAAACCCUGCCCAGUUGGCAGUAAGAGAAGUCAUUGGAAAGUAGAGUGCCCGGUUGGGGAAGGUCAUCCCCCCACGACAGAGUCUCGUGGGAAGCUGUCCCCCCUGAGGGACUCCCCUCCAGACCUGCUGGGCCUACACGAAAAAUGAAGAUGCCUAGACUCAAACACCCCUAUCACCCUUGCCAAGCCCAGGGCCACGCUGUGAGUAGCGGGUAAGUCCAUCUCCUUUUUGGUGGACACGGAGGCUGCCUACUCUGUUUUACCUUCCUUUCAUGGGCGUUUACAUCCUUCCCAGGUCUCGGUCGUGGGUGUCACGGGAACCCCCUCUAAGCCUCUAUAGACAAGUCCGGUAGCCUACACAUUUGAGAGCCAUCUUCUUACCCACUCAUUUCUAGUCAUCCUGUCCUGUCCUUUCCCUUUGUUAGGGAGAGAUCUCCUCUCCAAGCUUGGUGCCUCUAUCUCCCUGCCUCUUAGUCAUCCCCAACCGAGCUCACUCAUCAUCUUAGCCAAUAUAAGUUGUAGCCCUGAGCCCUCCACCAACACUCCUGUACAGUUGACCAGUGAUAACCCGAUAGUCUGAGACACCUCUACUCCUGUAGUGUUGAGCCAUCAUGCUCCAGUCCUCAUCUGCCUCAAAGACCCAUCCUCCUCUCCUUCUAGACCCCAAUUUCCUAUUUUCCAAGCCCAUCUCAAGGGCAUCCUACCUAUCAUUAACCAUCUUCUUUCUCAAAGGCUUCUGGUACCAACUAAUUCUCCCUGUAAAACUCCAGUUCUUCCAGUCAAGAAGCCAUUGGGGGCCUACCAGCUUGUUCAAGACCUGCAGAUAAUCAGUGAAGCUGCAGUCCCUCCUCACCUGGUCGUCCCUAACCCUUAUACUCUCUUAUCUCAAGUCCCCCAAACACCUCUCCUACCUACAUUACUUCUCACUCCUAAGAAAGAUACCCCCUUGUUCCGCCCAAUGCUCGUCUUUCCAUUCUUUCGUCCAGGCUGCCUGCUAUGAACAAACCUCAGUCUGUCUCUCGUCCAGACUACAGUACUAGAUGGGGCAAAGCCUGAGUGAUCAUGCUAGACAUAUCUGUCCUGAGAGAUGAAGACAACAUAUCUGCUAGAACCUCUGGCCACCGAUAGAGAGGUCAGAUAGUAGAAGUGCACAAAACCAUGUGGGUACAUCAGUACUCACCCCUUCCCUCCAAGCCUCCUCUGGCCUCCCACCAGCCUCAACCCCACCCACACCACCCCUCCUCAGCCAGAAGUAGCCAGAUAGAGUCAGCACCCUUUAUAACCAAAAGGCUGGAAUGUGAAGUUGGAGGCACCAGUGGGAGGGGUGAGUACAUUGGACAUUGAUGACGUGCCGAAGUCCCCAGCUGCUGCCCCCUCCCAACCUGAAAAAUGUGCCUCAGGCUAGCCAAUCCUCUUGCUGCUGCAAAUCUAAGCUCUGCCUCCCCCUACCUUCUUUAAAAAACUCACUGUCUGCCCUGCUGAGUGUGACUUCCCCGGCCUGUGACUUGCCAUACCGGGGAACAUCGCCCGGGAUUGUGCUCAAAUAAACUGCCUGGCCCUU
Molecule: long non-coding RNA, 4072 nt
Organism: Manis pentadactyla (Chinese pangolin)
Lineage: Eukaryota; Metazoa; Chordata; Mammalia; Pholidota; Manidae
Exons: 2
Source: RefSeq, a predicted model, not a curated record